This 369-nucleotide ribosomal RNA is filed under the name Burkholderia sp. 139R. Its description in RNAcentral is "bacterial SSU rRNA". It matches the Rfam family "Bacterial small subunit ribosomal RNA", at positions 970 to 1344 of the family's 1533-position model. Lineage: Bacteria; Pseudomonadati; Pseudomonadota; Betaproteobacteria; Burkholderiales; Burkholderiaceae. The record is from RNAcentral.
CUUACCUACCCUUGACAUGUACGGAAUCCUGCUGAGAGGCGGGAGUGCCCGAAAGGGAGCCGUAACACAGGUGCUGCAUGGCUGUCGUCAGCUCGUGUCGUGAGAUGUUGGGUUAAGUCCCGCAACGAGCGCAACCCUUGUCCCUAGUUGCUACGCAAGAGCACUCCAGGGAGACUGCCGGUGACAAACCGGAGGAAGGUGGGGAUGACGUCAAGUCCUCAUGGCCCUUAUGGGUAGGGCUUCACACGUCAUACAAUGGUCGGAACAGAGGGUUGCCAAGCCGCGAGGUGGAGCCAAUCCCAGAAAACCGAUCGUAGUCCGGAUCGCAGUCUGCAACUCGACUGCGUGAAGCGGAAUCGCUAGUAAUCG